UUACUAACUAGAAAAAUUGCAUUUCCUUGCAGAAAAUGCGUGGAAAUGCUGAGUGCUGAAAGCUGAAAAAGCAAUGCUAAACUGCUAAUAAAACAUGGAGAAAGGUAUAAAUGUUAAAGCUGUUGAAGGGGUGAAAAAGAAAUAUAAGUUGGAUAAUUGUUUAAUUGGUUGAAGGACAAAUAGUAUGAAUAUGCUCUAUAAAAGGAAAUUUUAUUCAUGCUGAAAGAGGCUAGAAAAAUGUCUAAAAUUGCACAAAGUUUGAAUGAAGAAGGAAAUUGCCUUUAAAGGCAGGAAGGUGGGAAGUGGCAUAAGUUUAAUUUUUUAAGUAUUAGAAAGGUUUGAAUCAGUUUGAAUCAGUUCAAAUUAGUUUGAAAAAUUAAAUGAUAAAUCAUCACUGAGUGACUUUAAAAUGUGAAAAAUCUAAAUGUAUAUAAAUUCUAAAUACACCCCAUAAUGUCCUCAAUGAGCUCAAAUUUUAAAGCCCUGAAUGGUUUCUGUAGGUCAAAGGUCAUGUGAGGAGAUAGGGGCUGAAGUUCUUUCAAGCGCUCUAGUAAAGGGUUUUAAGUGUCAUCCCCAGUGCUAUGUGUGCUGAGCCUGGCUUCAUGUGUCUCAUAUGGCCAUUAGAAGCAGCUUUCCAGUCAGCUGUGUGUCUCCAGGUGCACUAAUUGGUUGCCAUGGGGACCUUGGAUGCAUAACUAUAGCAGGAGAAAGAAGGCUUGAAGCUAAGGAAACAGGACUCCAAGUAGGCCCUGACGCUCAUCCUCUGUAUCUAUUCCUGAUAAGGAGCUUAUGAGAACACAAGACUCUGCUGAACACAUUAAUACAAUUUAUUAUCACAAUCCUCAAAACACCCCAUAAUAUCUUCAAUGAGCUGAAUUUUAGAAGCCCAGAAUGGUUUCUGUAGCUCAAAGUUUGUGGGUGGAGAUAGGUGGCGAAGCAGACACAUAUUAACUGUGUGUACAAGCAGCUGAACUGCAAGGUAGACCUCAUAAAGCAACAAGUACAAGAGUGUGUGUGUGUGUGUGUGUGUGUCGUUAAUGACUGCAUCCUAAACAGCUGUGAGAUCAAAGGCAAAUCACUGACCUACUGUUUGAAUGAGAAGCAGCUGAACUGCAGAGGAUUUAGAGGCUCUAAACUUCUUCACAUAGCGUGAUUUCCUUAAGUCACAGAAUGAAAAUAAGAACAUCGUACGAAUCCUCCGCCCUUCAUGAACACAAUGAUGUCUUUUUCAUGUCUGUACUUCGAAAAAUGAGGCCACAACAGCGAGUUAAAAAAGUCUGAGCCUGAGUGGCGAUAAGGAUUUUCUUGGAGAAAAAAUACAUUAUGGUCAAUGGGAGAGAUUUCCGCCUUUUUUGGACAGUUGGUCACCUGCUGGCCAAGGGGUACGAUUUAAUGAUUUGAAACCUCUUUUGUGAGAAGCAGGACACAUAUACCUCCAUUUUGAUGUAUUAUUUGUGUCAGUGGAGUGAGAUUUGUGGGCGUGGGAGCGAUAUAUUCGAGCGAGGUUCUGUCGAUCAGAGACGAGGUCUGCACUCUAGCUGAUGACAUCAUCACUCUAAACUCUCCAAUACACACCCAUUAUAAAGCUUGAAAUUUGCUGAAAACCACAAGUUGCUUAAAGCUAAAUUGUGGAAAAACUGUAAGAGAUAUCAAAAAACUGAGUACAACUGUAAUAGUCGACAAGUGAAUGAACAUUUUAAAGCAAAAAUGAGGUCUCUAGGUGAAAGUAUGCAGAAGUUACAAGGUUCAGAAGGUGGAAGAAAAACAGGAAGAAUUGGAAGAUUUCCCCAUUGACUUCAAUGUUAAAAUUUUUGCAUAAAAAGUUAAAAAAAUCAAAAAGUAUAAAGGGUAGAAAAGUGAAAAGUAAUCGCCGUCAUGUCCUGAAGGAGAGGAAUAGUUUAAAGUUUGAACGGUUGAAAUCGCACAAAGUGGAGAAGAGUUAUAAAGUGCCAAAAAAUGGCGGAAGAAAAAUAAUAAUAAUAAUAAUAACUAGAAAAUUUGCAUUUCCUUGCAGAAAAUGCGUGGAAAUGCUGAGUGCUGAAAGCUGAAAAAGCAAUGCUAAACUGCUAAUAAAACAUGGAGAAAGGUAUAAAUGUAAAAGCUGUUGAAGGGGUAAAAAAAUAUAUAUAAGUUAAAUAAUUGUGAAAAUGGUUGGAGGAUAAAUAGUAUGAAUAUGCUCCUCAAAUUGAAAUUUGAUUCAUGCUGAUAGAGGCUGGAAAAUGUUCUACAAUUACACAAAGUUUGAAUGAAGAAGUAAAUUACCUUAAAAGGCAAGUAAGUGAAAAGUGGCAUAAGUUUAAGUUGUAGUACUAGAAGUAGUAUGAUAAUAGGUAGUUGUAGUAGUGAUAUUAGUAGUCAUGUAAGCAGUAGAAGUAGUUUUAGAAUUGAAGAAGUAGAAGUCAAAGCAGUAGAGCUCGUGGUAGAAGUAAGAGUAGAAGUAAAAAAAUAUUAAGAGAAGCAAGAGCAGUGGAGGUGGAAGUGAAGAUACAAGUUAAGGUGACAUAAGUAGUAAUUGUAGUGGUAGAACUGGGAUUUUGCUUGAAGAAUUAAAACAUACAUAAAUAAUGAGAAUGAUUUUGAAGUGGGAAAAACUUAAAAAUUAGACGUCCUAAUGUGUUUAACAGGUUUGAAGUAUCCCAAAGGUUUGAAUCAGUUUGAAUGAGUUUGGAUUUGUCUGAAGAAUUUCAUAAUGCAUGAAUAAUGAGAAUAAUUUUAAAGUGGGAAAAAGUUAAAUGAAUAAAAAUCCUGAGUACACCCCAUAUUGUCCUCAAUGAGCUGAAUUUUUGGAGCCCUGAAUGGUUUCUGUAGGUCAAAGUUUGUAGUCCUCGCUUUGUGGGUCUUUUCUCAUAGACCUCACAAAGCAGCAAGUACAAGAUUUUGUGUGUGUGUCUCGUUAAUGACUGCAUCCUAAACAGCUGUGAGAUCAAAGGCAUUAACUGACCUACUGUUUGACUGAGAAGCAGCUGAACUGCAGAGGAUGUAAAGCCUCUGAACUUCUUCACAUUGUGUGAUUUCCUUAAGUCCCAGAAUGAAAAUAAGAACAUCGUACGAAUCCUCCGUCCUUCAUGAACACAAUGAUGUGUUUUUCAUGUCUGUACUUCGAAAAAUGAGGCCACAACAGCGAGUUAAAAAAGUCUGAGCUUGAGCGAUGAUCCGGAUUUUCUUGGAGAAAAAUAACAUUACAGUCAAUGGGAGAGAUUUCCGCCUUUUUUGGACAGUUGGUCACCUGCUGGCCAAGGGGUACGAUUUAAUGAUUUGAAACCUCUUUUGUGAGAAGCAGGACACAUAUACCUCCAUUUUGAUGUAUUAUUUGUGUCAGUGGAGUGAGAUUUGUGGGCGUGGGAGCGAUAUAUUCGAGCGAGGUUCUGUCGAUCAGAGACGAGGUCUGCACUCUAGCUGAUGACAUCAUCACUCUAAACUCUCCAAUACACACCCAUUAUAAAGCUUGAAAUUUGCUGAAAACCACAAGUUGCUUAAAGCUAAAUUGUGGAAAAACUGUAAGAGAUAUCAAAAAACUGAGUACAACUGUAAUAGUCGACAAGUGAAUGAACAUUUUAAAACAAAAAUGAGGUCUCUAGGUGAAAGUAUGCAGAAGUUACAAGGUUCAGAAGGUGGAAGAAAAACAGGAAGAAUUGGAAGAUUUCCCCAUUGACUUCAAUGUUAAAAUUUUUGCAUAAAAAGUUAAAAAAAUCAAAAAGUAUAAAGGGUAGAAAAGUGAAAAGUAAUCGCCGUCAUGUCCUGAAGGAGAGGAAUAGUUUAAAGUUUGAACGGUUGAAAUCGCACAAAGUGGAGAAGAGUUAUAAAGUGCCAAAAAAUGGCGGAAGAAAAAUAAUAAUAACUAGAAAAUUUGCAUUUCCUUGCAGAAAAUGCGUGGAAAUGCUGAGUGCUGAAAGCUGAAAAAGCAAUGCUAAACUGCUAAUAAAACAUGGAGAAAGGUAUAAAUGUAAAAGCUGUUGAAGGGGUAAAAAAAUAUAUAUAAGUUAAAUAAUUGUGAAAAUGGUUGGAGGAUAAAUAGUAUGAAUAUGCUCCUCAAAUUGAAAUUUGAUUCAUGCUGAUAGAGGCUGGAAAAUGUUCUACAAUUACACAAAGUUUGAAUGAAGAAGUAAAUUACCUUAAAAGGCAAGUAAGUGAAAAGUGGCAUAAGUUUAAGUUGUAGUACUAGAAGUAGUAUGAUAAUAGGUAGUUGUAGUAGUGAUAUUAGUAGUCAUGUAAGCAGUAGAAGUAGUUUUAGAAUUGAAGAAGUAGAAGUCAAAGCAGUAGAGCUCGUGGUAGAAGUAAGAGUAGAAGUAAAAAAAUAUUAAGAGAAGCAAGAGCAGUGGAGGUGGAAGUGAAGAUACAAGUUAAGGUGACAUAAGUAGUAAUUGUAGUGGUAGAACUGGGAUUUUGCUUGAAGAAUUAAAAAAUACAUAAAUAAUGAGAAUGAUUUUGAAGUGGGAAAAACUCAAAAAAUUAGACGUCCUAAUGUGUUUAACAGGUUUGAAGUAUCCCAAAGGUUUGAAUCAGUUUGAAUGAGUUUGGAUUUGUCUGAAGAAUUUCAUAAUGCAUGAAUAAUGAGAAUAAUUUUAAAGUGGGAAAAAGUUAAAUGAAUAAAAAUCCUGAGUACACCCCAUAUUGUCCUCAAUGAGCUGAAUUUUUGGAGCCCUGAAUGGUUUCUGUAGGUCAAAGUUUGUAGUCCUCGCUUUGUGGGUCUUUUCUCAUAGACCUCGCAAAGCAGCAAGUACAAGAUUUUGUGUGUGUGUCUCGUUAAUGACUGCAUCCUAAACAGCUGUGAGAUCAAAGGCAUUAACUGACCUACUGUUUGACUGAGAAGCAGCUGAACUGCAGAGGAUGUAAAGCCUCUGAACUUCUUCACAUAGCGUGAUUUCCUUAAGUCCCAGAAUGAAAAUAAGAACAUUGUACGAAUCCUCCGCCCUUCAUGAACACAAUGAUGUGUUUUUCAUGUCUGUACUCCAAGAAAUGUGGCCACAACAGUGAGUUAAAAAAGUCUGAGCCUGAGUGGCGAUAAGGAUUUUCUUGGAGAAAAAAUACAUUAGGGCUAAUGGGAGAGAUUUCCGCCUAUUUGAACAGUUGGUCACCUGCUGGCCAAGGGGUAGGAUUUAAUGAUUUGAAACCUCUUUUGUGAGAAGCAGGACACAUAUACCUCCAUUUUGAUGUAUUUUUUAUGUCUGUGGAGUGAGAUUUGUAGGCGUGGGAGCGAUAUAUUCGAGCGAGGUUCUGUCGAUCAGAGACGAAGUCUGCACUCUAGCUUUUCAAAUUGUCACUCUAGCCUCUCCAAUACACACCCAUUAUAAAGCUUGAAAUUUGCUGAAAACCACAAGUUGCUUAAAGCUAAAUUGUGGAAGAACUGUAAAAGAUAUCAAAAAACUGACUACAACUGUAAUAGUCGACAAGACAAUGAACAUUUUAAAGCAAAAAUGAGGUCUCUAGGUGAAAGUAUGCAGAAGUUAUAAGGUUCAGAAGGUGGAAGAAUAACAGGAAGAAUUGGAAGAUUUCCCCAUUGACUUCAAUGUUAAAAUUUUUGCAUAAAAAGUUAAAAAAAUCAAAAAGUAUAAAGGGUAGAAAAGUGAAAAGUAAUCGCCGUCAUGUCCUGAAGGAGAGGAAUAGUUUAAAGUUUGAACGGUUGAAAUCGCACAAAGUGGAGAAGAGUUAUAAAGUGCCAAAAAAUGGCGGAAGAAAAAUAAUAAUAAUAACUAGAAAAAUUGCAUUUCCUUGCAGAAAAUGCGUGGAAAUGCUGAGUGCUGAAAGCUGAAAAAGCAAUG
Molecule: long non-coding RNA, 5759 nt
Filed under: Xyrichtys novacula (pearly razorfish)
Lineage: Eukaryota; Metazoa; Chordata; Actinopteri; Labriformes; Labridae
Source: RNAcentral